GACGAACGCUGGCGGCGUGCUUAACACAUGCAAGUCGAACGGAAAGGCCUUUUCGGAGGUACUCGAGUGGCGAACGGGUGAGUAGCACGUGGGUGAUCUGCCCUGCACUCUGGGAUAAGCCUGGGAAACUGGGUCUAUUACCGGUUGGAACGGCACUUAGGGGGGGGGGGGGGAAGGUUUUUUCGGUGUAGGAUGAGCCCGCGGCCUAUCAGCUUGUUGGUGGGGUAAUGGCCUACCAAGGCGGCGACGGGUAGCCGGACUGAGAGGUUGGUCGGCCACAUUGGGACUGAGAUACGGCCCAGACUCCUACGGGAGGCAGCAGUGGGGAAUAUUGCACAAUGGGCGCAAGCCUGAUGCAGCGACGCCGCGUGGGGGAUGGCGGCCUUCGGGUUGUAAACUCCUUUCGCCAGGGACGAAGCGUUUUGUGACGGUACCUGGAGAAGAAGCACCGGCUAACUACGUG
RNAcentral lists this ribosomal RNA (463 nucleotides) under uncultured bacterium. RNAcentral's name for it is "partial 16S ribosomal RNA". It matches the Rfam family "Bacterial small subunit ribosomal RNA", at positions 28 to 507 of the family's 1533-position model. The record is from RNAcentral.